Molecule: unclassified non-coding RNA, 326 nt
Filed under: soil metagenome
Description: partial contains 5.8S ribosomal RNA, internal transcribed spacer 2, and large subunit ribosomal RNA
Rfam family: 5.8S ribosomal RNA (bases 2-121)
Source: RNAcentral
GGAUGAAGAACGCAGCGAAAUGCGAUAAGUAAUGCGAAUUGCAGAAUUCAGUGAGUCAUCGAAUCUUUGAACGCACAUUGCGCCCUGUGGUAUUCCGCAGGGCAUGCCUGUUCGAGCGUCAUUUCAACCCUCAAGCCCCGCUUGGUGUUGGGCCCCGCCCGCCGUGGCCGGCCCUAAAGACAGUGGCGGCGCCGCCUGGCCCUCAGCGUAGUACAGCUCUCGCUCCAGGGUCCGGCGGCCGCCUGCCAGAACCCCCCCAACUCUGUGGUUGACCUCGGAUCAGGUAGGGAUACCCGCUGAACUUAAGCAUAUCAAUAAGCGGAGGA